CGCGGCCUAUCAGCUUGUUGGUGGGGUAACGGCUCACCAAGGCAUCGACGGGUAGCUGGUCUGAGAGGACGAUCAGCCACACUGGGACUGAGACACGGCCCAGACUCCUGCGGGAGGCAGCAGUGGGGAAUCUUGCGCAAUGGGCGAAAGCCUGACGCAGCAACGCCGCGUGGGGGAUGAAGGCUCUCGGGUUGUAAACCCCUUUCAUCAGGGACGAAAUUGACGGUACCUGAAGAAGAAGCCCCGGCCAACUACGUGCCAGCAGCCGCGGUGACACGUAGGGGGCGAGCGUUGUCCGGAAUUAUUGGGCGUAAAGAGCUCGUAGGCGGUUUAGUAAGUCAGAUGUGAAAGGUUGGGGCUCAACCCUAAGACUGCAUCCGAUACUGCUAUGACUAGAGUCCGGUAGAGGAGUGUGGAAUUCCUGGUGUAGCGGUGAAAUGCGCAGAUAUCAGGAGGAACACCGACGGCGAAGGCAGCACUCUGGGCCGGUACUGACGCUCAGGAGCGAAAGCGUGGGUAGCAAACAGGAUUAGAUACCCUGGUAGUCCACGCCGUAAACGUUGGGCACUAGGUGUGGGACCUUAUCAACGGGUUCUGUGCCGUAGCUAACGCAUUAAGUGCCCCGCCUGGGGAGUACGG
Molecule: ribosomal RNA, 639 nt
Filed under: uncultured bacterium
Lineage: Bacteria
Description: bacterial SSU rRNA
Rfam family: Bacterial small subunit ribosomal RNA
Source: RNAcentral